UGCAGUCGAACGAUGAAGCCCAGCUUGCUGGGUGGAUUAGUGGCGAACGGGUGAGUAACACGUGAGUAACCUGCCCUUAACUCUGGGAUAAGCCUGGGAAACUGGGUCUAAUACCGGAUAGGAGCGCCGACCGCAUGGUGGGUGUUGGAAAGAUUUAUCGGUUUUGGAUGGACUCGCGGCCUAUCAGCUUGUUGGUGAGGUAAUGGCUCACCAAGGCGACGACGGGUAGCCGGCCUGAGAGGGUGACCGGCCACACUGGGACUGAGACACGGCCCAGACUCCUACGGGAGGCAGCAGUGGGGAAUAUUGCACAAUGGGCGCAAGCCUGAUGCAGCGACGCCGCGUGAGGGAUGACGGCCUUCGGGUUGUAAACCUCUUUCAGUAGGGAAGAAGCGAAAGUGACGGUACCUGCAGAAGAAGCACCGGCUAACUACGUGCCAGCAGCCGCGGUAAUACGUAGGGUGCGAGCGUUAUCCGGAAUUAUUGGGCGUAAAGAGCUCGUAGGCGGUUUGUCGCGUCUGUCGUGAAAGUCCGGGGCUUAACCCCGGAUCUGCGGUGGGUACGGGCAGACUAGAGUGCAGUAGGGGAGACUGGAAUUCCUGGUGUAGCGGUGGAAUGCGCAGAUAUCAGGAGGAACACCGAUGGCGAAGGCAGGUCUCUGGGCUGUAACUGACGCUUGAGGAGCGAAAGCAUGGGGGAGCGAACAGGAUUAGAUACCCUGGUAGUCCAUGCCGUAAACGUUGGGCACUUAGGUGUGGGGACCAUUCCACGGUUUCCGCGCCGCAGCUAACGCAUUAAGUGCCCCGCCUGGGGAGUACGGCCGCAAGGCUAAAACUCAAAGGAAUUGACGGGGGCCCGCACAAGCGGCGGAGCAUGCGGAUUAAUUCGAUGCAACGCGAAGAACCUUACCAAGGCUUGACAUGUUCUCGAUCGCCGUAGAGAUACGGUUUCCCCUUUGGGGCGGGUUCACAGGUGGUGCAUGGUUGUCGUCAACUCGUGUCGUGAGAUGUUGGGUUAAGUCCCGCAACGAGCGCAACCCUCGUUCCAUGUUGCCAGCACGUAAUGGUGGGGACUCAUGGGAGACUGCCGGGGUCAACUCGGAGGAAGGUGAGGACGACGUCAAAUCAUCAUGCCCCUUAUGUCUUGGGCUUCACGCAUGCUACAAUGGCCGGUACAAUGGGUCGCGAUACUGUGAGGUGGAGCUAAUCCCAAAAAGCCGGUCUCAGUUCGGAUUGGGGUCUGCAACUCGACCCCAUGAAGUCGGAGUCGCUAGUAAUCGCAGAUCAGCAACGCUGCGGUGAAUACGUUCCCGGGCCUUGUACACACCGCCCGUCAAGUCACGAAAGUCGGUAACACCCGAAGCCGGUGGCCUAACCCUUGUGGGGGAGC
Molecule: ribosomal RNA, 1389 nt
Filed under: Micrococcus sp. AU645B
Lineage: Bacteria; Bacillati; Actinomycetota; Actinomycetes; Micrococcales; Micrococcaceae
Description: bacterial SSU rRNA
Rfam family: Bacterial small subunit ribosomal RNA
Source: RNAcentral